UAACGUGGACCCGUAAUCCGGGUUGCGGACAGUGUCUGGUGGGUAGUUUGACUGGGGCGGUCUCCUCCUAAAGAGUAACGGAGGAGCACGAAGGUUGGCUAAUCCUGGUCGGACAUCAGGAGGUUAGUGCAAUGGCAUAAGCCAGCUUGACUGCGAGCGUGACGGCGCGAGCAGGUGCGAAAGCAGGUCAUAGUGAUCCGGUGGUUCUGAAUGGAAGGGCCAUCGCUCAACGGAUAAAAGGUACUCCGGGGAUAACAGGCUGAUACCGCCCAAGAGUUCAUAUCGACGGCGGUGUUUGGCACCUCGAUGUCGGCUCAUCACAUCCUGGGGCUGAAGUAGGUCCCAAGGGUAUGGCUGUUCGCCAUUUAAAGUGGUACGCGAGCUGGGUUUAGAACGUCGUGAGACAGUUCGGUCCCUAUCUGCCGUGGGCGCUGGAGAACUGAGGGGGGCUGCUCCUAGUACGAGAGGACCGGAGUGGACGCAUCACUGGUGUUCGGGUUGUCAUGCCAAUGGCACUGCCCGGUAGCUAAAUGCGGAAGAGAUAAGUGCUGAAAGCAUCUAAGCACGAAACUUGCCCCGAGAUGAGUUCUCCCUGAGACUUUAGGUCUCCUGAAGGAACGUUGAAGACGAC
Molecule: ribosomal RNA, 631 nt
Filed under: Salmonella enterica subsp. enterica serovar Paratyphi B var. L(+) tartrate +
Lineage: Bacteria; Pseudomonadati; Pseudomonadota; Gammaproteobacteria; Enterobacterales; Enterobacteriaceae
Description: partial 23S ribosomal RNA
Rfam family: Bacterial large subunit ribosomal RNA
Source: RNAcentral